This is a long non-coding RNA of Gavialis gangeticus (Gharial), 781 nucleotides long. RefSeq lists it as uncharacterized. NCBI's taxonomy places the organism in Eukaryota, Metazoa, Chordata, Crocodylia, Gavialidae. The transcript has 2 exons. The record is from RefSeq and is a predicted model, not a curated record.
UUUGGAAGAAAGGUACUGCUUGACAAAGAACCCAGUCUCUUGAAUAAGGGUUUAUACUGGCACUUCGCUGUGUUUAUAAUACCAUAUCCUGGGGUUUCUGAGACUGGUGCUAUUCUGCUGUGUGAGAUGUUUUAGAAUCCUAGGCUUAAAUGUACUUAAUACAUUAAGUGAAGUAAAUUUGUCAGGACCAUCUGUCUUUUAUGAGCAAAAUAUUUUUAUUUUUUCAAAAAGCUUCCCAGAAUAGACAUCAUGUUGACUAGAUUUUUUAUAUGUAGAACUUUGUGCUUCUCUUUUUCCCCUUUUAGAUGUUGGAUGACUUUUUUUGCACUGGCAUUGGAAACAUACAGGUGCUCGCAUUUCCAAAGAAGGAUCCUACAUGUAGGAAAAGACUCUUUUCCUUGAUCCCUCAACUUUACAUAAAUCAAUGGUAGUUUUCAAUCAGUCAAUGAUGAGGUGCACCUUUACCCUGCCUUUGGCCUGACUUCAGACUAACAAGGCUAAUUACCCCUCUCAUCUCAUCUUUCAUCAGAGUAUAGUGAGCCACAGAUGAAUGAAGUGAAUCAGAGAUGAAUAAACUUUCUUGAGUAACAGCUCAUUUUAUCAGUUAUCACCAAAACCUUUGCAUCUCAGUUUCAGUUAAUCUAUAAGGUGUAUUGCUGCACUGUGUUCUUCCUAAAUUUGUGCCAAAUCUGCUGAGGAUUCUGCAAAAUUAGUGCUUUUCAAAUGCUUUCACUUCCUCAGAGAUUACAAAUGGUGCAUUAAAUAUGCACUUCUACUGGUA